Molecule: ribosomal RNA, 111 nt
Filed under: uncultured eukaryote
Lineage: Eukaryota
Description: partial small subunit ribosomal RNA
Rfam family: Eukaryotic small subunit ribosomal RNA
Source: RNAcentral
GUCGCACCUACCAAUUGAAUGGUCCGGUGAAGCCUCGGGAUUGUGACUAGUUCCCUUCAUUGGGGAUUGGUCGCGGGAACUUGUCUGAACCUUAUCAUUUAGAGGAAGGUG